GGACUACUGGGGUAUCUAAUCCCGUUUGCUCCCCACGCUUUCGCGCCUCAGCGUCAGUACCAGUCCAGUGAGCCGCCUUCGCCACUGGUGUUCCUCCCAAUAUCUACGCAUUUCACCGCUACACUGGGAAUUCCACUCACCUCUCCUGGUCUCAAGCUAAGCAGUUUGGACGGCAGUUCCUCGGUUAAGCCGAGGGAUUUCACCAUCCACUUGCCAAGCCGCCUACGCGCCCUUUACGCCCAAUAAUUCCGAAUAACGCUUGCCCCCUCUGUAUUACCGCGGCGGCUGGCAC
RNAcentral lists this ribosomal RNA (292 nucleotides) under uncultured Acidobacteriota bacterium. RNAcentral describes it as "uncultured Acidobacteria bacterium partial 16S ribosomal RNA". Lineage: Bacteria; Pseudomonadati; Acidobacteriota. The record is from RNAcentral.